AACGAGACCUUAACCUGCUAUUUAGUCGCUCGGUCCUUGUCCGUGCGCACUUCAUAGAGGGACUCUGCGGCGUCAAGCUGCGGUGAGGUUUAAGGCAAUAACAGGUCUGUGAUGCCCUUAGAUGUCCUGGGCUGCACGCGCGCUACACUGAUGCUUGCCUCGUGUUUACCCUCGGCCGAUAGGCCCUGGUAACCCCUAGUCUGCAUCGUGUUUGGGAUUGAUCUUUGCAAUUCUAGAUCAUGAACGAGGAAUGCCUAGUAUGCGCAAGUCAUCAGCUUGUGCAGAUUACGUCCCUGCCCUUUGUACAC
RNAcentral lists this ribosomal RNA (308 nucleotides) under Babesia bovis. RNAcentral describes it as "SSU rRNA". It matches the Rfam family "Eukaryotic small subunit ribosomal RNA", at positions 1334 to 1667 of the family's 1831-position model. The record is from RNAcentral. Lineage: Eukaryota; Apicomplexa; Aconoidasida; Piroplasmida; Babesiidae.